GAUGAACGCUGGCGGCGUGCCUAAUACAUGCAAGUCGAGCGAACAGAUGAGGAGCUUGCUCCUCUGACGUUAGCGGCGGACGGGUGAGUAACACGUGGAUAACCUACCUAUAAGACUGGGAUAACUUCGGGAAACCGGAGCUAAUACCGGAUAAUAUAUUGAACCGCAUGGUUCAAUAGUGAAAGACGGUUUUGCUGUCACUUAUAGAUGGACCCGCGCCGCAUUAGCUAGUUGGUAAGGUAACGGCUUACCAAGGCAACGAUGCGUAGCCGACCUGAGAGGGUGAUCGGCCACACUGGAACUGAGACACGGUCCAGACUCCUACGGGAGGCAGCAGUAGGGAAUCUUCCGCAAUGGGCGAAAGCCUGACGGAGCAACGCCGCGGGAGUGAUGAAGGUCUUCGGAUCGUAAAACUCUGUUAUUAGGGAAGAACAAAUGUGUAAGUAACUAUGCACGUCUGGACGGUACCUAAGCAGAAAGCCACGGCUAACUACGU
RNAcentral lists this ribosomal RNA (496 nucleotides) under uncultured bacterium. Its description in RNAcentral is "partial 16S ribosomal RNA". It matches the Rfam family "Bacterial small subunit ribosomal RNA", at positions 28 to 506 of the family's 1533-position model. The record is from RNAcentral.